CAUUUCUUAUUGAAAUUAUUAUAAGUAACACCUGCUCCAUGAGAAUUAAAUAGCCGCAGAAAUUACUGUGCUAAGGUAGCAUAAUCAUUAGCCUCUUAAUUAGAGGCUCGUAUGAAUGGUGAAACAUUUUAUUUACUUUUUUUUAUAAUUAUAUUUAAAUUAUAUUAAGUAUAAAAAUAUACUUAUUUAUUAGUAAGACGACAAGACCCUAUUGAACUUUACUUAAGUUUAGCUGGGGCAGCUUAUUAAAAUUAAUUUUAAUAUAGAUUUAUAUAUAAAUGACCCAAAAAAAUUGAUUAUUUGAUCAAGUUACCAUAGGGAUAACAGCGUAAUUUUUCUUUAAAGUUCGUAUUAAUAGAAAAGAUUGCGACCUCGAUGUUGAAUUAAUAUAACUUUUAUAUGCAAUAAUUUAAAAAGUAGGUCUGUUCGACCUUUAAAAUAUUAC
This 445-nucleotide ribosomal RNA is filed under the name Araneidae sp. ORB019. RNAcentral's name for it is "partial 16S ribosomal RNA". It matches the Rfam family "Bacterial large subunit ribosomal RNA", at positions 1827 to 2599 of the family's 2925-position model. Lineage: Eukaryota; Metazoa; Arthropoda; Arachnida; Araneae; Araneidae. The record is from RNAcentral.